CCCGGGCCUUGUACACACCGCCCGUCACACCACGAAAGUCGGUAACACCCGAAGCCAGUGGCCCAACCGCAAGGAGGGAGCUGUCGAAGGUGGGAUCGGUGAUUGGGGUGAAGUCGUAACAAGGUACCC
This 129-nucleotide ribosomal RNA is filed under the name uncultured bacterium. Its description in RNAcentral is "partial 16S ribosomal RNA". It matches the Rfam family "Bacterial small subunit ribosomal RNA", at positions 1373 to 1501 of the family's 1533-position model. The record is from RNAcentral.